Molecule: long non-coding RNA, 315 nt
Filed under: Durio zibethinus
Lineage: Eukaryota; Viridiplantae; Streptophyta; Magnoliopsida; Malvales; Malvaceae
Description: long non-coding RNA (DZIB_LNC001330)
Source: RNAcentral
GCACUCUUCUUUUAGCAAUGGACAAUCCCGAAACCAUAGUUCCUCGGGCUGGAGAAGCAUGUCUUUAUCACGAAGGACUGCGAGCUUAGAACAAUCAGAGAUGUACAAAGAUUGAUGAGUGGUGAGGUUUUGAAAGCCCUUGGAUGCGAGCUUAGAACAAUCAGAGAUGUACAAAGAUUGAUGAGUGGUGAGGUUUUGAAAGCCCUUGGAGAACAUGUAUUUCAGAUUUUCAAAAUUUCCUAUGGAGAUAUGGCCAGGAUGGGUUAGAGGAGGCAGCAUCAUUCCUAUCUCUUCUUUUGAAAAUGACACCACAUC